CAACCCUCAAGCUCUGCUUGGUAUUGGGCCUCGCCAGUAAAAUGGCGGGCCUUAAAAUCAGUGUGCGGUGCCGUUGGGUCCUGAGCGUAGUAAUUUUUUCUCGCUACAGGUUCCCCGCGUGCCUCUGCCAUUAAACCCCAAAUUUUUCUAUGGUU
RNAcentral lists this ribosomal RNA (155 nucleotides) under Scleromitrula calthicola. The record is from RNAcentral. Lineage: Eukaryota; Fungi; Ascomycota; Leotiomycetes; Helotiales; Sclerotiniaceae.